UUUAAUUGUUGGUGAAUGGUCGAUUCACAAUAAGAAAGUUGGCAGAAUCUGAAAGUUUUGUUUUUGGUUCUGCGUUUCUUAACAGUUGUGACUUACGUGUCUGUCUAGUACUCAAUGUAGCUCAAUAUGUUAAUUAUUUACUCUAAUCUCUUGCUUGUUUCUUGACCAUAAUACAACAAACAGAGCGGUAGAAUCCAAUGAGAUGUGGAAGACUCAGGAGCAAGAAAACGAAAGGCUCAAAAUAAAAUCAAGAGAGGAAAGCAGCAACAGCAGUAGCCAAAUGAAGUGGAGUAGUAGUUUCUCGAAAAGGAGUUUGGAUAAGAAAUGUAGCUCCAUUAACGAGGAGAGAAAGAUCACUCAUCAAUCAUCAUUGGACAAAAGAUUGUACUUGGAUGAUGAUGAUGAAGGUUUAGGAGAUGAUGAGAAUUGAGUCUUUUCUCCAAUCACGGAACAAACGUGGGAGAGGCUCUGUUGGUCCUAGGAUGGAUGAAAAUGUCCCUUAUCUUCCCACCGAGAAGGUUGAUCAAUUGCAAAGUUCUGAUACAAGGGAAAGGAAGGUAGUCUUGCUGCAGCUUGGGCUCUAGCUAAUCUAUAUUAUCUUGCAUGUUAGAAAGCUCUUAUAAGGGUUUAUAAAACUAUUUAUAAGAACUUAUAAAUCAUUUUUAAGGUUUUAAAAAUAUAUUUAUAAAAGUUUAUGAAUCUGUAUAUAAGGUUUGUAAAAAUAUUAUAAGAGUUUAAUAAUCUUCAUAACACAAUUUAUAAGAGUUAAUAAAUCUUUUUUAAGAGUUUAUAAAUCUUUACAAACAUUUAGAAGUAAAAUAUUCAUAAAGCUAUUAUAAGUGUCUAUAAUUCUAAUAUAAAUGUUUGUAAAUUAUUUAUAGUAAAUAAAAGAUUAUUUAUAAUGGUUUAUAAAACAAUUAAUAAGACUUUAUAAAAUCAGUCUAUAAGGUUUUUUAAAUAUAUUAUUAAAGUAUAAUUCAUUUAUAAGAGUUUAUAAAAUCCGUUUAUAAGGAUUAUAAAUAAUUAAUAAAUGUUUAUGAAUGAUUUAUGAAGAUUUAGAAAUCAUUUAUAAAUAUUUAUCAAUAGUUUAUAUAUAUUCCUCAUGUGGUGGAAAACAGCAAGAUGAUGUAGCAGAGGUUUGUGGGGAUAUUGAGUUUGCUGUAUAGUUCAUAGCUAAGAAUAAGAGCGAGUGUCUCCAAGAAGAAUGGGGAGUGUUGGGGAAGUCUCCGGAGGCGGCUUUAGAUGUGGAUCAGACGAUCUUCGUGGUUACGGCGGAAGACGUGGAGAGGAGCAAAAGACGGUGUUAUGGGCAGCAAGAAACUUCUCCAGCAAGAAGAUUUGCUUGCUUUACGUCCAUCGUCCUGCUUGGCCUGCCUCCUGCAGUGAGAAUCUUAUGCUUCUCUUUCUCUCUGACUUAACUAUUUUGUGGUGAAUUAUAGAAUAUUUAUGGAUGUUGAAUUGUUCUUGAGUGUAGAUUUGCUCAUGAAUCAUGAUUGAAUCUUACCGAGUCUAUAUAUAUAUCCUUUAGUUGAUUGUGGAUGAUGUUAAUGAUGUACCUCUGUUUGCUAAGAAAAUCUGAGAAAUGAUAUAAUUGUUUUAUAAAGAAGAGGCAGAGAAACCAUAUCAAAUUAUAUCAUCAUAAUAAAAUCCUUAUAAGACUUUAUAAAGAUAAUAAAUAAUUUAUAAAUAUUUAUAAAUCAUUUAUGAAAAUUCAGAAAUCAUUUAUAAACCUUUAUCAAUAGUUUAUAUAUAUAUUCCUAUAAAUGAUUUAUAAACCUUUAUAAAAUCACUUAUAAGAAUAUACCAAAUAUUUAUAAGGUUUUAUAAAAUCAUUUAUAAAUAUUUAGAAAGGUAAUUUCAUUUAUAAAGUCUUAAAAAUCAUUUAUAAGAUUUUAUAAAUCUUUACAUUUAGAAGUAAAAUAUUCAUAAAGCUAUUAUAAGUUUAAAAAGUAAAAUCGAUGAUAUAAAUACAUGAAGAUGCUCGUUACUAAUUUUCUGAAAAACGAAACUAGAGUAAAUGUAAAGUACAAAUGAUUUACAGCUUACAAUCACUUAUAAGAACACGUGUUAUACAUAUAUAUAUUACAGAAAGACAUGUGUCUUGUUUCUCUUAUAUGUGUCAAAAACAUAUAUAUUACAUAUAAAAACACGUGUCUUAUCUCUCUUUCUGCAACUCCAAUCUUCUUGAAAAUUGUGUUUCCUUCUGAAAACAUAAAAACAUAAGGCUAAAUAUAUAUAUUGUUUUACGGUUUCUUUUAUAAGGCCUUAUAAAUAUAAAAAUUGUAAUAAAUACCUCAAGCGGAUUACCUUUAUAAAAUCACUUAUAAAUUUUAUAAGAGCUUAUAAAACCUUGUAUCAACCAUCUAUAAAGUUUUUAAAACAUAUAUAAAUAUUUAUAAGAUUUUAUAAAUCUUUUUCAAGAGUUUAUAAAUCUUUUUCAAGAGUUUAUAAAUCUUUUAUAAGAUUUUAUAAAUCUUUACAUUUAGAAGUAAAAUAUUCAUAAAGCUAUUAUAAGUUUAAAAAAUAAAAUCGGUGAUAUAAAUACAUGAAGAUGCUCAUUACUAAUUUUCUGAAAAAAGAAACUAGAGUAAAUGUAAAGUACAAAUUAUUUACAGCUUACAAUCACUUAUAAGAACACGUGUUACACAUAUAUAUUACAGAAAGACAUGUGUCUUGUUUCUCUUAUAUGUGUCAAGAACAUAUAUAUUACAUACAAAAACACGUGUCUUCUCUCUCUUUCUGCAACUCCAAUCUUCUUAAAAAUUGUGUUUCCCUAUGAAAACAUAAAAAUAUAAGGCUAAAUAUAUAUAUAUAUAUAUAUAUAUAUAUAUAUAUUGUUUUACGGUUUCUUUUAUAAAACCUUAUAAAUAUAAAAAUUGUAAUAAAUACCUCAAGGGGGUUACCUUUAUAAAAUCACUUAUAAAUUUUAUAAGAGCUUAUAAAACCUUGUAUCAACCAUCUAUAAAGUUUUUAAAACAUAUAUAAAUAUUUAUAAAACUAUUUAAAAGGGUUUAUAAAACUAUUUACAAGAACUUAUAAGCUAUUUAUAAGAGUUUUUACAUUUAUUUAUAAGUGUUCAUAAAUUAAUUUACAAGGUUUAUAAAUCUAUUUAUAAGAGUUUAUAAAUCACCAAAUUAACCAACUUUUCACUAUUUCUUUGCUUAUUAAGGAACAUCAUUCUUUUACAGUUUCUUUUAUAAGGCCUUAUAAAAAAGUAUAAUUGAGUAUUGAGAUGAUUGAGUAUUGAGAGAUACUUGAGGUUUCUGAAUUUAUAAUGGUUUAUAAAAAUUUAUAAAGGGUUUACAAAACCACAAUGUUAGAUGAACGUCUCAGUUCUGCAGAUGCACAUAAUAUAUCCAGACCAGAUAUAUAGCCUUCUAGGACCUUUCUCACAGAAAUAGCAAAAGCCUGAUUAACAAGAGUAUAGUGGCUCUUGUUAUUGGCUUCUUCAUUUUCACCUACUUUACAGCUCCCCCAUGUCCCUCAACUUCCAACUUGAAGUUCAUGAAAUGGGUCUACGAAGUUAUGGAGAAGAAAGACCAAAGAACCAAAACAGCCUAUGUUUCAAAGAAUCUGUCCCAAGGCGUCAGUGCUUGAUAACCAAUGCCACAAGCUCAGACUUUUGUGGGUUGUCCUAUCAGCUGGCUCAGAGCAUAAUCCAUAAGAGAGCUUAUGUAUGCUAAUAAGAGAAGAACACCUUGCAGGGCAUUCAACGCCAACCUAACCAAACUUAAUUCCUAUUAAAAAGCAACAAAAUUGUCAGAGAAUGUGGCCAAAAGUAGAAGUAGUCUCAAUAUACUUCUUUCAUUUCAUCUAAGCACUAAAGAUAUUCCAUUGUUCUGUAAUUGAUUACUAAGAAUAGAAAUCUGAGAACAUGACAUCGUAAUCUUCCCUAAGAUAAUGAUUUCGUCGUAACUCAAUACAGUACAUCGAGUACUAAACUCAAAUCAAUAAAAUUGAUACUUCUUUUCCCCCAAAUCAUUUCCUAUUAGGUUUCCGAUCCUAGCCACUCAAGUGAAAUGCAAAGCUCAUGUUUCCACGCAUACAAACAUGAAAAGCGUAAAUGGUGAACUUACAGAGGCAAAUGAAGAAGACGGAGGAGAAGCACGAGUUGGAAGAAGAAAUUGGCAGCUCUGAGAAUGUAAGGACUCUCAAUUACUUGGUGGAAGGUAAAGCUCCUCCUGUUUGAGCUUCUCCAGAAGCGAAUCAAUGCUCGUCGCCACCGUCAUUAUUUCUCAAUCGAGGAGAAAGUGAGAGAUCGUCUUGUUCGCCUGAGCUUGUAGAGUUUUUCAGCUUCGUCGGAGAAUUCGUCAGCGCCGUCCGGAGAACUCGUCAGGAUCGUCGGAUUUGAUCACCGUCGAAUUCGAAAUCAAUCUGGAAACUCUCAGAUUUGGAAUUGAGGGAGAACGAGAGUAAUUUAGGUUUAAUUAUUCAGGGGUAUAAUGGUACUUUGUCUAUUAAAAUUUUAAUGGUAAA
Brassica rapa (field mustard) is the source of this 4476-nucleotide long non-coding RNA. RefSeq lists it as uncharacterized. The record is from RefSeq and is a predicted model, not a curated record. Lineage: Eukaryota; Viridiplantae; Streptophyta; Magnoliopsida; Brassicales; Brassicaceae.